RNAcentral lists this long non-coding RNA (3373 nucleotides) under Salvia miltiorrhiza (redroot sage). RNAcentral's name for it is "long non-coding RNA (SMIL_LNC008194)". Lineage: Eukaryota; Viridiplantae; Streptophyta; Magnoliopsida; Lamiales; Lamiaceae. The record is from RNAcentral.
UUUAGCCCGGAAAUCAGGCAAGAUAGCAAGGCAACUGCAGAAGAACCCGCACUACGACGAUCUCCGGCGCGACGUCAACACCGAUGAAGAAUCCAUGGAGCUACUUGCAAAAUUCUGCCAUGGCUAUGACAUCGACCUCUCACCGGAAAACGUGGUUGCCUUAGCCUGCGUAGCAAAAUCCCUCGACAUGACGGACACCCAUUGCCCCAACAAUCUGUUGAGCAAGACGGUGUCGUUUUUUGAAGAACACGUUAUGCAUAGCUGGGACAACUCCAUCAAAGCCAUCAAGUGCGCCGAGAGAGUGCUCAGGCAAGCGGAUGAGCUCGGCCUAUUGGACUGCUGCGUUGAGACGCUCAUCUUGAAAGCGCUCGAGGAUCCGCGUCUAUUGGGGGAGCCUUUGAUGAGGAACGAUGAUGAAGAUGAAGUUGAAGAUAAUUAUAUUAGGCCUAACACUAGGAGGAAACUCUUCGUGGUGGAAUGGAAAUACGAAGAUCUCACCACUCUCCCUUUGAAGCUUUAUGCGUCGAUCCUCAGAGCCAUGAUCCAGCGCCAAGUGCCGCCACAAUUUGUGGCGGCGAAUCUAUUCCGAUACGCCAAGAAUUGGAUACUGUGCAAGGAGGAGGUGAGAGGUGAGAGAGAGACGAUUGAGAUUUUGGUGAGGCUGAUUCCUCAGCAAACAGGGCUGCUUCCGUGCUCGUUUCUGUGUGAAAUGCUUCGUUUGGCCAUUGUUGUUGAAGCUGAUGCGGAGUGCAGAAACGCGUUGGAGCUGAGGAUCGGGANAAGUAUCAAUUUAGCCCCCUAAUGUAGAGGCCCCUGUAGCCAAUACAACCCUAUGCGCAGGGGUGUCUCAACUAAACCCCUAAGGUCCAUGUUUUGCGUCAAGUAGACCUCUCCGUCUAACGGAGAGUUAACACCGUUAACUAUUGUUAUUCUUUUUAUUUUUUUAUUUUGUUGGUGGUGGGACCCACACCUUCUUCACCACCAAACUCGCCGGAAACCUAAUCCUAUCCUUGUCAGCCCACUUCUCCUUCCCCGUCGAACGUCACCAGUGGCCUUUAGCACCACGACUCACGAACUAAGUCCACCCGAAACUCCGGCCUGUGCCCGAACCUCGAAUCGGAACCAUUGUAAAUCCCCAAAAGGCGAGGGCAGCAGACCAAUACAAAGUUGAGAAGUCCAACCCCCAGAUGAGGCCGGCUCUAGCCAUUUGGAUUUUGAUCGGAUGCCUUGCCCAACCCUCACAACCGCCGGUAAGAAGAAGAAAUUGUAGAAGCCCUUAUUUCAAAUGCAACCCCAAUGGACCUUUUUUCCCUUUGUGUUUAACAGCAACAGAAAACUCAAGAGUGGCUUCCUUGGCCGGCGACGUGAUUUUUCGAAACAGAAAUGGAGAUCGGUGAUAAUAAAAAGGAAUUUUUAGCCUCAACAUAGAUCGAGAGAGGGGAAUUGCUCUGAACUUUCCCCCUUUUUAGCCUGAUUUCUGGCGAUUCCCGCUCCGGUAAGGUAGAUUGGCCCGCCGAAAAUGAGUUUCAGAGAGAAAAGGGCGGUGAAGUGCCAUUGAGCAGCCGGUCGCGGCAGAGCAACAACGAGAUCGAGUCGAGAUUCGUGGGGGAUUGCUUGUUGAUCUGGCAAUGACGGCGAAUGGUCGAACGGUAGUGAUGAGGCCCGAUUUCUAUGGUUCACUGGAGAUGAUGAUAGAUCUGGUUUUCUUGACUAAUUUUAAUGGUGGGCCCCACAAAAAAAAAAAACCCAAAAAAAAUUAAAUUACAAACGGAGUUUACGCUCCGUUAGAGUGAGGGGCCAAUUUGACGAAAAUUAUAGACUAUAGGGGUUUAGUUGACACACCCCUGCCCAUAGGGUGUUAAUAGCUACAGGGGCCUCUACGUUAGAGGCCAAAUUGAUACUUAACCCUAUAAAAAAUUACUUACAUUUAACAAAAACAAUACCUUUAAGUAACGCACAAAAAUAAUUAAACAAUAGGUAUAAAAUAGAGAGCAACCCUAAUGUCAAUUCUAAAAUCUAAAUCAGUGCCCCUUCUUUUCUUAUUUCUCAUCAGCGGCACUUCUUCUUAUUCCUUCAGCAGCAAUGUUUCUUCUUCCAUCUGCUUCUUUUUUCUGUAUUUAUUGAAUCUAACCAAAACAUCAAACCUGACACUAAAUUAUAGUUAUUUAUUUUUCUACAUGCGAAUUGAUGGGUUUUAUACCCCUCAGAUCAAGAUAGAUUGGGCUGGUGAGUGUGCUUAGGCUUGUAAUUCUCUCAUUCUUGCGCUCCCCUCUUUCUUCGUCUCUGAAGUGAAAAGCUUGAGAAACAUAUUUCUUUUAUCCAGAUUCCAGGUUUUAUGCAGAGAUUUUUUUUUUCAACAGCCAAGGAAAAGUUUACGUAAAAUGACAUAAAUGAUCUGAUAUUUAUACUAAUCAAUUUCUUGGAGCCAAAGUCUGUAUCUUCAUUUGUUUCAUGGAUAAUAUGAUAUUUAAAUGGGUAUUGACCAGUAGCAGAUUACACAAUAAAUAAAGGCCAAAACUCGUAGAAAUCAGUGUCUAUUAUCCAACAGAUAAAUAACUUAUAAUGUUCACUGCAUAAAACAAUUAUAGCAAUGGGGAAACUUUUGCAGCUGAAAACUUUGCUUAUAUAUAUAUGUAUAUAGAUAUAGGUAGAUAUACUGAUAUAGAUAUAGAUAUAGAUUUCUAUCACUGAGGAUUAAAAUUCGUUACGAUAUGCUCCUUAUUGUUUCUUGUUUCUUUCUGAUUGAUUUACAGCAUUGUGAAGGUGAGUAGAGGUGCUUCUAUAUAUGAAAUGGCUGCAGCUAGAAAAGGAUUAAUAGAACUCCCAAGCAGGUAAAUUAAAUUAAACAAACUCUAAUCGUUUUCUUCAAUUCAUAUUUUUGUCCCACUUGUUUAAUUUUGUUGUUAUUGUAGGAGGCAUCGUCCCCUAUUAAAAUCUGAACUCCAUCCUGGACAAAUUUUCACACUGGAUACGGUAAACUAACAGAAGCAGACGAUCGAGAUCAUCUAUUCUGAAUUAAUUAAUUCUGAAUUACAUAAAACUGCAGGAGAUUUUAGCCCGGAAAUCAGGCAAGAUAGCAAGGCAACUGCAGAAGAACCCGCACUACGACGAUCUCUGGCGCGACGUCAACACCGAUGAAGAAUCCAUGGAGCUACUUGCAAAAUUCUGCCAUGGCUAUGACAUCGACCUCUCACCGGAAAACGUGGUUCCCUUAGCUUGCGUAGCAAAAUCCCUCGACAUGACGGACACCCAUUGCCCCAACAAUCUGUUGAGCAAGACGGUGUCGUUUUUCGAAGAACACGUUAUGCAUAGCUGGGACAACUCCAUCAAAGCCAUCAAGUGCGCCGAGAGAGUGCUCAGGCAAGCGGAUGAG